GCGGGUGUAGCUCAAUUGGUAGAGCACCACCUUGCCAAGGUGGAUGUCGUCGGUUCGAACCCGAUCACCCGCUCCA
RNAcentral lists this transfer RNA (76 nucleotides) under Lentisphaerota bacterium. RNAcentral's name for it is "Lentisphaerae bacterium tRNA-Gly". It matches the Rfam family "tRNA". Rfam says of the family: Transfer RNA (tRNA) molecules are approximately 80 nucleotides in length. Their secondary structure includes four short double-helical elements and three loops (D, anti-codon, and T loops). The record is from RNAcentral. Lineage: Bacteria; Pseudomonadati; Lentisphaerota.